AACAAGCGCACAGUCCAGUACGAAGCAACGGCAUCUCUAGACGUCUAGUGUUAGUCUAAAAGUGAUUGCAUGUUUUUUAUAUUUUAGGUUUUGCAUGCUGUAUGUAACACGAUCCAGGGCAACAUAAAGCCGCAUUCCUCCCCCACAGCAAACAUCUGUUCUGUCGCCAAGCGAUGCUGCAGGAACCGUCUGCAUUUGCGCGAAACUCAAGUUUUAAACGAAACCACAUGGUUGAAGAAGAGGCUGCAGGAGGUCACAUAUAUUUGAAACUUCAGCAGCUUUAAAAGGUCUAAAGGCAUUACCAGAGUUUCUCUGUCGGAGACCAAAUAAACAAAACAGGUUGCAGUUCCAUAAAACAAGCAGCAGGGGGCGGUCUUCUCCACCGGCAGGACCCGCACCAUGUGGCAGCUAAUGUCACAGGAAGUCGCGGUCAGGACAUCUUAUGAGCUCGGGGCCGGACUAAAACGAUCCGAAGUGCAGCUUCAGCGGCACUCGAUAUGGUCAGCAAGGCUUUCUACACAGGGCAGCACAGACUAUGGGGCACCACAAAAUGAAAGACAUAAGACAGCAGGAUUAACUUUUCUGGGGAAGCGAGGGAAUGUCUGUCGGCGUUCGGGACAGCAGAAGGGAGGCGCCAUUUGGCAAUGACCGUCGUAUUUGUCCGUCUGUAAGUUGGCACGGCUGGUCAGCUCCAGCACAAACCAGUGUCCUGUCCAGACCCCUUCAUCAUACGCUCGAUUUCACCAAAGCGGUCAGACUGACCUGGACUAAACAAACUGGAAGAAUAGCGACACAGAUCCGCCUAAUGGUCGCCGUUUAACUCCAUUCAUCGGCUCUCCAUUAUGCCCGUUCCCUCUUUGAGGAUAGGAUUAUACGCGGCCUCAGUCACAAAGGUCAGAGGGCCGAGCAGACACUCCCACACCUCCGUGACCCGCUCUGAUCCCACGACCUCGGCACCAGCGGGCCCCCACUCCCGGACCCGGCUCUCCCUCCCCGCCAGUUGACCGGCUUUGUCCUGUUUGUCCCGACCCGUUUUCUGCCGUAUCACUCACACGCAUCACAGCAAGCUGAACAAUCAGGGGAUGGAAACCUGAUUACCGAGCGGCAACACCGCAAUCCACACAACACGCAAACAACAGCAAGAAAAAUUUUUAUUUUUAAUGCAAUUAUUCUGUUUUAUGAUCUUUUACUCCAUUUGAUUGGACUGAAUUUGAUCAUUUCCCAUUUCUUGAUCCUUUCCUGCAUUUCUUCUUCUCUUUUGUGUUGGAUCUUGAAAAUAUUUUAUUUCUGUCUCAGUAUAUGAAUUAAAUAUUUAUUCACUCACUUAGCAAACAAACAAAGUAGUCAAGCUUUUGGUAGACUGGAAAAUCAUCUCCAAUAGAUAAAGGAACAUUUCGUGCACAUUUUCAUAAUAUUCCUGUAGAGCUCUGUGUUUACAGAAAAUACUCAUUAAACCUUCUCUAGCAAAUAAUAAUGCUCUUCAUUAAGCCCUAUGGGGCCUCGUAUCGCACUGCCAGCAGUUGCUACAAACAUCUAAAUGAACAAAAUAAACAAAAAAGACCAAAAUACAUACAGAUGUACUAAUGAAAGAACUAAGUAUUUUUACCCAUUGAGUAAAAAUAACCCAUUGUAGUUUCCUAUCAGACAUGCACUCACGCUGUCACACUGUUG
Poecilia reticulata (guppy) is the source of this 1671-nucleotide long non-coding RNA. RefSeq lists it as uncharacterized. Lineage: Eukaryota; Metazoa; Chordata; Actinopteri; Cyprinodontiformes; Poeciliidae. The record is from RefSeq and is a predicted model, not a curated record.